CCUCUGAAAUCCUUAUUUCUACACUGUAAAAAGCUCUUCAAGGGUGUUGUCUAUAGGAAUUUAUUUUAAAAAGUAUAUUUCUUCCAAUAAAUUGAUUCCCUUUUCUUUUUGAAUUCAUUUAAGUUUUGCAUAAGUAAAAAGUGUGAUUGUUUUUGUAACUUAUUAUUACCUAUCAAAAAAUUGUUUUUUACUUACCUUCACAAUAAAUUGCUUCUACAAAACUCUAUUUAAGUGUUUAUAUCCAAAGUAAUACGUCACGACCCGCUCACAUGCUGCAGCAGAACAACGACAUCGAUGCUCAUUGUCACCUGUACCGGACCAGUUUCGGAUUUCUUUGGAGUUUUUGGGGGCUUUAUACAGCGUGCAGCACAUAAGACCAUCAGAUCUACUGAUCUGGAGCAGCUGAUCAACGCAUCAAGAACUUUUAUUGGAACUGAUACAGGAUCCAAGUACCUCUGUGGUGAAGAAGAGAGACGUGACUCUGAGAUGCCUCAUUGAAUACAUGGGAGAGAGUGGGCAAGAGCUAAUCUCUGACUACUAUGGAAAAACGGAGAGCAGUGUCCAUGAGGACUUGAAAAUAUGCAGAUACAUGUCUGCCGUGAACCAGAUGCAGUGGGCAUCAUCUUUGAGGGAAUCCCAGUGCUUACUGAUCUUGGAAAUCUGGCCAGGGCGUGUUGCCUGCUUCUGGGGAUGACAUGCUCUGAACCUGCAGUAUCCACCACAACUCUGCAAAACAUUUGAGGUGUUCCAAAGACUUUUUGUGGGACUUGACACACUGCGCCCAAA
Long non-coding RNA from Labeo rohita (rohu), 786 nucleotides. RefSeq lists it as uncharacterized. The transcript is spliced from 4 exons. NCBI's taxonomy places the organism in Eukaryota, Metazoa, Chordata, Actinopteri, Cypriniformes, Cyprinidae. The record is from RefSeq and is a predicted model, not a curated record.